Manduca sexta (tobacco hornworm) is the source of this 460-nucleotide long non-coding RNA. RefSeq lists it as uncharacterized. The record is from RefSeq and is a predicted model, not a curated record. The transcript has 3 exons. NCBI's taxonomy places the organism in Eukaryota, Metazoa, Arthropoda, Insecta, Lepidoptera, Sphingidae.
GGGCGCGGGCGGGGCGCGGCCGCGGCGCCUCAGUCGAGCCGGACCCGCCAAGCGCGCCGCACGUUCUCUCGCGCCCGCACCGAUGCGCGUACCGGCCGCUCGCAGGCACUCGCCCGCUGCCACCGCUGCCGCCCCGGAACGCUGUUGACCGCUGGUGACCGCGCUGCUGCCAUCCCCGGCCGUGAUACGUGGAGUCUCGGACCGUAACCGUUAGUGCCAAAUUUCCCGGGACGAGACGUCGAGAGAAGUUUCGAGUAAUUCCACAACAAAUCGAAGGUUGAAGACAGUUUCUGUUUGGAAGUUAAAAAGUGCGGCGAUGUCGCGCCGGCGCGGGUUCGAUGGCGCCGGGUGAGCGCGUCCCAAGGCUAGGCGCCGAUGCGCGCCUGGCUGCUCGUGUGGGCGGCGCUCGUCGCGGGCACCGCUGCGACGACGGCGCAACACCACGCCCGCCCGCACACAC